CCUACGGGUGGCAGCAGUAGGGAAUUUUGCGCAAUGGGCGAAAGCCUGACGCAGCAACGCCGCGUGAUCGAGACGCCCUUCGGGGUGUAAAGAUCUGUCAGUGGGGACGACACUUGACGGUACCAACAGAGGAAGCACCGGCUAACUCUGUGCCAGCAGCCGCGGUCAUACGGGGGGUGCAAGCGUUGUCCGGAAUCAGUGGGCGUAAAGAGUUCGUAGGCGGCACGUAAAGUCUGGUGUUAACGGCAGGGGAUCAACUUCUGUACGGCACUGGAUACUUGCGAGCUAGAAUGCGGUAGAGGGAAAGGGAAUUCCUGGUGUAGCGGUGAAAUGCUUAGAUAUCAGGAGGAACAUCGGUGGCGUAGGCGCUUUACUGGGCCUUAAUUGACGCUGAGGAACGAAGGCCAGGGUAGCAAAUGGGAUUAGAUACCCUGGUAGUC
RNAcentral lists this ribosomal RNA (440 nucleotides) under uncultured bacterium. RNAcentral describes it as "partial 16S ribosomal RNA". It matches the Rfam family "Bacterial small subunit ribosomal RNA", at positions 338 to 795 of the family's 1533-position model. The record is from RNAcentral.